This is a long non-coding RNA of Folsomia candida, 1962 nucleotides long. RefSeq lists it as uncharacterized. The record is from RefSeq and is a predicted model, not a curated record. Lineage: Eukaryota; Metazoa; Arthropoda; Collembola; Entomobryomorpha; Isotomidae. The transcript is spliced from 3 exons.
CGAAGGAAGGUGACGAUAACGCCAAAGAUGAUGACGACGACGACGACCAGGAGGACGAUAUGAGGCUCGUCGUCUGCUCGAGACGCGGAUCACUUGAAGACUCUUGGUGGACGCUAGGUUGGAGGAAAGAAAGGAAUUUUUUGCCAUCACGGCUUGGUUACAAUCCCCCUCCACGAUACAGACCAAGACGUGUGUGUGAGAGAGAGAAGCUUCUUGGGUAAAAAGUUUUGUAAAAUGUAGCCAACUGUUGGAUUGGUUAUAACAACAAUUAAGCCGACCCCUCUCUCCCUCGUCGUCUUGCCUUAGCUAGUUACCUGAGAAGCCAAGAUCUCUUUGUGCUGUAUCGAGCUUAUAUAAUGUUCUUAUUCCCAUUCCUCUCUCCAGCAUGCAUACUACAGAUGCACUACAAUGGACCGCAAGCAAGCAGGUAUUCUAUUUUUCGUGGGUACCUAGUCGUCGCUGAUUCGCCCAACCACGCCACACACGGACGCAAGAAACAACAAAGCGCCCCAGGGCACCCAACUUGUCUGUAACCUAAAGUAUAUCGUCCCAACGAGUCCUCCCUUGCCCACAAUUGCUUUUGUCCACAAGCGAUGUACAUGCACAAGAAAUUCUCCACCAUCGUCGUUGGUUCUUUUCCCACUAUCACCUCAUAUUAUCAUCCCCUCAAACUCGUACUCUGCUUUACUUUACCUGGCCGGGCCUUCUCCUCCCAUUGUUGUAUAUCUUGCCGUGUGAGCACAGGCAACAAUGGGACACCCUUCUCGCCGACUCUUCUGGCUUGGUCGCUUGCUGUUUAUCAGCACAUAGCUCUCGUUCUUGCUCGCCUUACUCACGGACAAAACCUUUUCCAAGCCAAGAACCUCUUGAAAUAAUGCAGCAAUAACCACUCCGUCUGGCACUGUAACACAACCUCUAAAUUGCCUCCGCUUGGCCAAUGGGAGUGAGAUGAAUGUUCAGAUGGACAGAUGUUCAUCCUUCUUGAACAAAACCACGCCGGUUCUUCCAAUGCCGCUGCUCCUUACGAGGUCCGCAUUUUGGCAAUAACACGUCUUCACCACAAUCAACAAUGCUCAACCAACCGGUGAGAGAGAUGCACCUAAUGGGUGAUGACCACAAUGCAAAAAUGCACACACAAUCAUGUUCUCACGGAAUAAACGUCUGUUUUUUAGCCGUCUUAAGAAGGAAAAAUCUCCAUGCUCGACAGUGUCGCAUCACAAACUGCAGUGAAACACGGAAUAUUAGUGCAAAGUCAUCCAAUCCAGAUAAUCCACAAUCCGGAGGAGACGAUGAUAAAACAAGACGAAGACGCAACAUAUCACCAUCACCCUGUUACGAAAGUAGCGUUUCCAAGCACUUGUGCACACAAAAAUAAUCCUCACUACUUGCUGUAUCAAAAUCAGAAUAUAUGUAUGUACUUAUGUUGUGUGAAAUGAACACGAACUGCUCUGGAAAUGCAGAGUCGACUCUGAAAUCGUUCAAGUGGUGCCAAUGAACCUCUCCUCAGCAGCCCCACAAUAAACCAGCCGAGUGCUGACUGACUGACUGGAUGGACGGACGACUGGACUUUGCUAUAAGCAUUUAUAUAUUGCCACACAACAGCACAUAAUAAUAUCCGUUCGUCUCCAGUUCUCUUAUCUUUACCACUUGCUUUGGGUCUCUCUCCCCUCAUCUCACUCCUCUCAGGCUCAAUUUUCUCUCAAAUAUCCUUAAUUUCUUUAACUUACACUACUUACUACAUUACUCACUCUGGCUGGAGAAGAAGGAUGACUACUCUGAUGACGAUAUGACAGCAGCAUACUUACUGCAACAUUAUAUGACGUGAUCGUGAUGAAGAGAGAACGGGAGAUAACUACUUGUCUGGACUGAUGCUGGAAGAGGAACUGGAACAAUUUUACAACUCUAAUAAUAAUCCACACGACCAUUUUCCAAGUCUAAAUAAACGUCUCGAUGUACUAAUAA